RNAcentral lists this long non-coding RNA (334 nucleotides) under Gossypium barbadense (sea-island cotton). RNAcentral describes it as "long non-coding RNA (GBAR_LNC013268)". Lineage: Eukaryota; Viridiplantae; Streptophyta; Magnoliopsida; Malvales; Malvaceae. The record is from RNAcentral.
CUUGGAAAUCAUUUGACAAUAAAUUUCCAGGCUUUACAAGCGAUCCUAGGAGUGUGAGGCUUGGGCUAGCAUCUGAUGGAUUUAAUCCUUUCAAGAUCAUGAGCACUGCGUACAGUACUUGGCCAGUAGUGCUUGUUCCUUAUAAUCUGCCUCCGUGGAUUUGCAUGAAGCAAUCUUCCCUUAUCUUAUCUAUGAUUAUCCCUGGUGAGAAAGGGCCCGGGAAUGAUAUCGACAUUUAUUUACAGCCACUUAUUGAAGAGUUAAAACAAUUAUGGGCUGGUGUCGAGACAUAUGAUGUGGUGAGAAAGGAGAACUUUAAUUUACGUGCGGCUUU